Molecule: ribosomal RNA, 449 nt
Filed under: uncultured bacterium
Lineage: Bacteria
Description: partial 16S ribosomal RNA
Rfam family: Bacterial small subunit ribosomal RNA
Source: RNAcentral
AACGAACGCUGGCGGCAUGCCUAACACAUGCAAGUCGAACGAAGCCUUCGGGCUUAGUGGCGCACGGGUGCGUAACGCGUGGGGAUCUGCCCUUGGGUUCGGAAUAACAGUUAGAAAUGACUGCUAAUACCGGAUGAUGUCUUCGGACCAAAGAUUUAUCGCCCAAGGAUGAGCCCGCGUAGGAUUAGGUAGUUGGUGGGGUAAUGGCCCACCAAGCCGACGAUCCUUAGCUGGUCUGAGAGGAUGAUCAGCCACACUGGGACUGAGACACGGCCCAGACUCCUACGGGAGGCAGCAGUGGGGAAUAUUGGACAAUGGGCGAAAGCCUGAUCCAGCAAUGCCGCGUGAGUGAUGAAGGCCUUAGGGUUGUAGAGCUCUUUUACCAGGGAUGAUAAUGACAGUACCUGGAGAAUAAGCUCCGGCUAACUCCGUGCCAGCCGCCGCAGUAA